Molecule: long non-coding RNA, 989 nt
Organism: Triticum aestivum (bread wheat)
Lineage: Eukaryota; Viridiplantae; Streptophyta; Magnoliopsida; Poales; Poaceae
Exons: 5
Source: RefSeq, a predicted model, not a curated record
CCUAACCCUAAUCGCCCUUUUCUCGUCUCCUCCCAUACCAACCAUCAGCCGCCGCCGCCACUCCACCUUCCCUCCUCGCGUCUCUCCAUGUCGCCGCCGGCGGCGCCGGCAUUGAACCACCAUGCGCCAGGCCCCUCCCAUCCAGCCCACACCAGACCCCUCCCCGUCUACCUCACUCCAUGCCCCUUCUCAUGCAGAUCGCGCCCUCGAGCUGCGGCGGCUCAGUCCUGCAUCUCGAGAUGAUGCGGCCAUGGUGGCGGCGGGGCCGACUGCCGGGUUUGGAACCCCCUGAUGCCGGCGGCGGGCACGGAUCCAGCUCCAUCCAGUGGCUGAGACACACACGCGUGCUUCUCCUUGAAUGGUUAGUGGCAAAUCUGAGGGGAACACGGACGUGUCCUUCAUGCAGGAUGAUGCACCGGCCGCAUCGAUUUCAACUGGUAUUGCUGAAGCUAUCCACGAGAGCCAUUUCCUCUCCUACACAAUUCCUGUUAUAGGAACUAAAUAUCUCAUGACAAAGUCAUGCACAGGGGCAGCUCCUUGCAAUGUACAGUGCAGUGCCUGAUCUAGUACAUAUGUUGUCCCAAUGGAUAUGGGCAUUUACAGCUGAUUUGAGAUCCUUUUCGAUAUAGCUACUAUCACUAUCACCAGGAGGAUAGUUUCGAAAAUGAAGCCUGCUAGGUAUAGCAGAGAAGUAAAUGUAUGACGGUGAUGUCGAUUGUUGGCUGCCAGUGUGAACCAGCAAAUAUGCCGAGAUGAUAGGCAGUUGAUGGAAGCGUCCAAGUCCAGCCAGGUAAGAUUAUGUAGCAAGCUACUUGGUGCAGCCAUCACAAUCAGCCACGACAUGAUAGUUGCCACAGGAGGACCGAUGGCAAGAACAUGAAUAACAACCUCAAUAGUUUAUAUGUUAUGUUGAUGUAAAAUGGAUUGUACUGGUUCCUAACCUUGUUUUGUGAUAUAUUUGUCAAUCUAUGUUGUAAGUUAUCAUUUCA